CUCUCUGAGGAGGGUCUUGCAAACUCACCACAUGUGUUCCUUGCAAUUCCUUUCAGGUGUCAGGGCCUGUUCUGAGCAGGAAAAUCGUCUCCCAAUUUUGACUCAGUCCUCAACAAUUGUAUUUAAUUGCUGUAACUCCUGGAACUUGAAAAAGAAGACAUUCUUUUUCCUAUUCACCCGGAACAGAAGAGAAUAAAAUUUAGGCAAGAACUUGUAAGGAAGAAGAGACAGGAGAACUCCAGAAAAGCGGACAUGCCAGCCAGUGGCGCGGUCGUGCCGCCGGAGUAGGACUAAGGGAGGCUCUCCCUUUCUUCUUCGCAUUCUUAUGUAGCACUGUAAUUUUUCAAAGCCAACUGCAUUACUCUGGAAAUUGGGGAAAAUAUUUUCAAAAUAAGGGAAACAAAAAGAAAAACUUGCUUUAUCCUGAAUGCUGGGGAAAGCUGUCUCAGAGCCCCACAGCACCCAAGGGCCUGCUCCUGAGACCUGUGUUCUAGACAACAGAGCCUCUCCGUGUGACUGGGCUGUAUAGAUCCUGUCCUAUUCUCGUCCGCCAGGACUUGGGAGAGAAGUCACCCGAGAUACAGUUGUAUAUAUUCCAGAAGACUUGGGCCAGGAACCCUGAUGUUUCCAUUAUGCAAUCAAGAAGGACAUCCUUGAAGAUUAAUUAGUCUGAAACAUUCUGGGGCCUCCAAAUAAGCUUUGUUGAUGUUUAACAGACCCACAGUUUUAUCCCUCAGUGCUGGGCUUGGCAGUAGGCAUUGGGAGGGGAAGGAAAGUAAUGCCUCUCUGUCCCUUUAAGUCCUAAAUUGUUUUUAGGUGUUUGUUUAGAGACAGCAUUGGGAUGUUGCCUGCCAGGCAGGGAAGAGGGUGGACGUGGCCUCCUUCAGACCUCUCCUCAUCAGAGUUACUGUUUCGAGUAACGAGGAAGCACGGGAAUUGAUUUGAUGCCUAAUGAAUAAUCAGCUGCCAUCAAUAAUUGUAAUCACUAAUCUGGUGCAAUUAGAGGCAAUUAUAAUAAAUGCAAUUUCCUCCCGAGCCACUAACGAACUACAGAAAUAUGAAUUGACUUAAGGGGGCUGGCAGUGAUUUAUGUGAUUGUGAGAUCACGAAUACCAUUAUCUUUGUAAAGAUUCUUAAAGGAGCAAGGUCCUAGUCUGAUUUCACUCUUAACUAAUGAGAAGCUAGAAAAUACAAUUCUGGAGGUGAGGAGCACAGGUGCCUACUCUAUCUCUCCUACAACUAGCUUCGGAUAAUCGUAGAUACCUGUGCAGACUCAGCUCAGACUGUCACUUGAAGGUCUGUUCCUGUACGUUUUGCUUACUAGAGAGAGAUUCUGAGUUCACACCUUCAAGUCUUGAAGAACAAGGACUAAAGCACCCAAUCAAUUCUGCAAGAGAGGGUGUUGACAGCAACAUCUGGAUGGAGGCGGCCUUUGUUAUUCCCAAGGGAGGCAUGUCUAUUGGCCCAUUACCCUUUCCACAUCCAGAUGAAUCCCCAGAUUUCAUAAAGAUUUUAUCUUUAUGUAAAUUGAAGGAAACUAGAAGUUGUCAAUAUCUUACAAAUGCUUAAAUAACUUUAAUUAUGUUAUUCUGAUUCCUAGAAAUUUUGAUUGACCAUCAAUUUUCUAGUGAAUCAGCCAGAGACAUUGGAAGGACUCCACCACAUGACCCUAAAGAACUGUGACAACACUCUAUUGCGCAACAGUGAGAGUGGGAGGGCCCAUCAUGCUUCAGAGCUAACAGCUGUCACCUGGACCACCCUUGGCCACAGGGGCACACAGACAAAUGAGCUUUGUCUACCUUCCCUCUGCGAGCAGUAUCAAGGACCCUGAGAGGCAAAUCUAAAGUGAAUUUUAAAAACAUGUUCAGUGGUGGUGCAGAGCAAUCCUGCUUCCAAGGAAAGGCCUCUUCCCCCUCUCUCUUCAGUGCCACUGGAGCGGCUCGUUCCAUUGAAAAUCCAGCAGGGAUUUGUGCCGCACGGCUAUGCAGCAGGGGCGGGCCGAGUUCAUACCAGCCAUCAAGGGCUCAGCAUGGUCUGGAGGGCUUUGUGCUCAGACACUCAGGCAGCCCAGCUCAGACCGAGCACACCCCUCUUCCUGCUGAGGCCACAGUGCAAGUGUUUCUGUAAGUGACUUUUCAAUAAUGGCCCCGUGCCUAAGAAGGAUACCAGUAUCAUCGUGGCUGAAAGUUUCUCUUCUGCCUCCAAAUCUUGACCUCUCCCUAAAAUAUCAUAAUAAGACUUUUUUAUUUGGGCAGAGAAAUAAUCUGCUGAUUUAUGUUUGGCUGGGAACGGAAGAACUAACGUUGACCCAACACCUGUGAUACGCCACAGACCCUGUCAUGUGCUGUCCUAUUUAUUUGUUUAUUGAUUUAUUAUUUUGUGUACUGUCUUAUUUAAUCCCAACAGGAGAUUUCUGGUAAAAUUUUAGCCCCACUUCACAGAGGAGGGAAGCAAGAUUCAGAGCCGUUUUGCAACUCGCCUGAGGCCACAUGCUAACAAUGAAAGUUUGAUUCCCUAGCGGUCCCUAGCCCCUCUGGCCCUGGACUGACGUCACUGCUCAUACCACCUCCACAUAAGCAUCAGGAGAGCCUCUCCUUUACCCACGUUUCUAACCACAGAGUUAGAGUUUUUCCUAAUAGCAAGGGGGUGGAAGGGGCUUGGUGACUAGAGUUUCAGAUGCCCCCAGAGAUGUCAUAAGCGACUCACUUAUUAUUCAGGGAAAUACCCAACAGAGUGAUGACUUCUUUCCUCGCUAUCAGUAUCCACUACCAGCUGUUCACUUGGAUCGGGGGAUAUGAGGGAUUUAACUCUGAAUUCAUGAAUGCCGCUAAAGCUCCUUCAGAGAGGAACCACGGGGAUUAGUGCUUGUGGGACCCGAGUGCCUGGUAACUCAAAGGACCAGGGCACAAACAGCAUGUUUUGAUGGGGCUGUGGAGAGUGCCUUACGCAUGCUAGGGUGAGCUGGGGGAGCACAGAAGGAGGUCUGUGCCUUGGGAGAUGGGCCUUCAAAUCUACAAGAAAAUACAGCAAAUAAAACUGUUAGAUAACAUCUGCCUUGGGCACUGGACAGAACUGCCAUUUGUUUUCUAUGGAUGUCUGCUUUGCUGCUGUAGUCUUUUUUUCCUGGUUCUGCAAUUUUUUUCCUUCUUCUUCAGCAUCUCUCAAACUGGAUUUCCUGUCAGAUUGCACACACGACAUGCUUUGUUUCCUAUGAUCCGUAUCACAACCCUCAAACAAUUCCUUCCCCCAGUUUGCAGAAGGGAAACCCAAGGUCAUC
This is a long non-coding RNA of Mustela lutreola (European mink), 3277 nucleotides long. RefSeq lists it as uncharacterized. Lineage: Eukaryota; Metazoa; Chordata; Mammalia; Carnivora; Mustelidae. The transcript has 3 exons. The record is from RefSeq and is a predicted model, not a curated record.